RNAcentral lists this ribosomal RNA (253 nucleotides) under uncultured bacterium. RNAcentral describes it as "partial 16S ribosomal RNA". It matches the Rfam family "Bacterial small subunit ribosomal RNA", at positions 524 to 776 of the family's 1533-position model. The record is from RNAcentral.
UACGUAGGGUGCUAGCGUUGUUCGGAAUCAUUGGGCGUAAAGCGCGUGUAGGCUGUUAGUUAAGUCGGGUGUGAAAUCCCUGGGCUCAACCGAGGAAGUGCAUCCGAAACUAACUAGCUAGAAGAUGGUAGAGGAAGGUGGAAUUCCUAGUGUAGAGGUGAAAUUCGUAGAUAUUAGGAGGAAUACCGGUGGCGAAGGCGGCUCACUGGACUGGUAUUGACGCUGAGGUGCGAAAGCGUGGGGAGCAAACAGG